CCUACGGGCGGCAGCAGUGGGGAAUAUUGGACAAUGGGGGCAACCCUGAUCCAGCCAUGCCGCGUGUGUGAAGAAGGCCCUCGGGUUGUAAAGCACUUUCAGUGAGGAAGAACGCCUGGUGGUUAAUACCCAUCAGGAAAGACAUCACUCACAGAAGAAGCACCGGCUAACUCCGUGCCAGCAGCCGCGGUAAUACGGAGGGUGCGAGCGUUAAUCGGAAUUACUGGGCGUAAAGCGCGCGUAGGUGGCUUGAUAAGCCGGUUGUGAAAGCCCCGGGCUCAACCUGGGAACGGCAUCCGGAACUGUCAAGCUAGAGUGCAGGAGAGGAAGGUAGAAUUGCCGGUGUAGCGGUGAAAUGCGUAGAGAUCGGGAGGAAUACCAGUGGCGAAGGCGGCCUUCUGGACUGGCACUGACACUGAGGUGCGAAAGCGUGGGUAGCAAACAGGAUUAGAUACCCCUGUAGUC
RNAcentral lists this ribosomal RNA (465 nucleotides) under Vreelandella stevensii. RNAcentral's name for it is "partial 16S ribosomal RNA". It matches the Rfam family "Bacterial small subunit ribosomal RNA", at positions 338 to 795 of the family's 1533-position model. Lineage: Bacteria; Pseudomonadati; Pseudomonadota; Gammaproteobacteria; Oceanospirillales; Halomonadaceae. The record is from RNAcentral.